CGGGUGAGUAAUGUAUGGGGAUCUGCCUGAUGGCGGGGGAUAACUACUGGAAACGGUAGCUAAUACCGCAUAAUGUCUACGGACCAAAGCGGGGGACCUUCGGGCCUCGCGCCAUCAGAUGAACCCAUAUGGGAUUAGCUUGUAGGUGAGGUAACGGCUUACCUAGGCGACGAUCCCUAGCUGGUCUGAGAGGAUGAUCAGCCACACUGGGACUGAGACACGGCCCAG
Molecule: ribosomal RNA, 228 nt
Filed under: uncultured bacterium
Lineage: Bacteria
Description: partial 16S ribosomal RNA
Rfam family: Bacterial small subunit ribosomal RNA
Source: RNAcentral